UUUGCUCUACUAUUUCAUCAUGGAUUUCCAUUCGCUAACAUCUUUGCUAAUUAAUUCUCUUUUCCUUCAUAGCAAAAUCAUUCUUUAUAUAUUCCUUCAAUGUAAAAUUAUGCAACUUACACAUUUACCUACUCAUACAGAACUCUAUGCUAUCAAAAAGAUUAGUUUGGGAUUAUAUUCCUGUUUUUCUUUCUAGUCUUUCAGCCCAUAGAUUCUUAUUCUUACCUUCGCCCAUGAAGCUAGGUUAGUUACCAUAUUGGCCACUUGAGUACUGAAAAUCCAGAUUCUUAUUCUCCAAAACUUUAAGCCAUCAUGGAGGAAACAUUUAUUCCUUUCCAUGGUAUAAAAAUGAUCUCAAAGAAAGGCUUUUGUGCUAGAAACAAAACUGGAAUGGUGGUUUCUGUGCCAGUAUCAAGUUUGAAAAGUUGAAGCCAAAACAUGAAUCACCAAACCGAACCAAAUUAAUUGACUCAGUUUGGUUCUAUCCAUAUUUUCGGUGGUUUGGUUCUCAUAUUUUAGCAUUUUGGUUAUCUGGUUUGUUUGAUUCAGUUUGAAACCGAAGUAACCAUUUGCACAACCCUAGUUGUUGCUACUACCACCACCACCAGCCCCUCAACUGCUGCCAUCACCACCAACAAAUAAUCAAAUGGAUAUAGGAAAAAAAAAAGUUGUAUUUACAACCAAACAUAGGAUUAGAAUCACCAUUACGUUAGAUUCUCAUUCCAUUAAAUUUUCAUUAUACCACAUUCCAUUGUAUCCUACAAAACAUAAUUUAAACGUAUCAUCAAUUUACAAAGAAGUUCAUUUAGCCUAUAUUAACCAUGCUUCUAGACAUAGGUAGAAUAUCUUAUCCUCUAAAUCAUAUAUUGAUAUUUGAGGCAAGAAUUUCGAAGAGCAAGGCCAAGCAAACAAGAAACAAUCACACAGCUACCUCAACAAGGAAUCUUAAGACUUCCAACUCCUAUUUUGAAAUAAAAGUUGGGAUUAAAGAUAAAAGAAUAAAAAAAUUUUAACGAGAAAAAAUUAUAACAAGAAAACUCACAUGCCAUCACCAAACUCCUCAUUA
This 1066-nucleotide unclassified non-coding RNA is filed under the name Hevea brasiliensis (rubber tree). The record is from RNAcentral. Lineage: Eukaryota; Viridiplantae; Streptophyta; Magnoliopsida; Malpighiales; Euphorbiaceae.